This 27-nucleotide non-coding RNA is filed under the name Homo sapiens (human). Lineage: Eukaryota; Metazoa; Chordata; Mammalia; Primates; Hominidae. The record is from RNAcentral.
GGGUGUGUCUAGGAAUGUCGUCCAUGA